This 1037-nucleotide long non-coding RNA is filed under the name Coturnix japonica (Japanese quail). Its description in RNAcentral is "lncRNA (ENSCJPG00005001828.1)". The record is from RNAcentral. Lineage: Eukaryota; Metazoa; Chordata; Aves; Galliformes; Phasianidae.
AUGUCAGGAUCUGUAUUACAGCCUGACACACCUGUAGUGCCCAGCAGGAGACAACUUAACACCGAAGAAGAGCAGGCAAAUUCAGAACAUGAGAUUGCCAGGCAACUGUGGGAUGACUGUGCACAGUUAACAAGCGUGCUUGAGCCUCAGCUUCCUGUGAUUCAGGCGAACAAAUCAAAAGCAUUAGCGAGAUCUAGCUUGCGGGGGACAACAUAUGAGCAGCUUGUGAGUGAUCAUCAGAAAAGGAAAAAAGUAAUUCCAAAUUAUUGGAGUGCUGCCUAUAAUGGAAAGCAAACUGGGAAGGGAAGUUCACAUUUAGCAGAGGCUGUUUUAUGUGCAGAAACCACUAAAACAACAUCAGGGAGAACAGUAGAGCUGAGGGAGACUUCAUCAGUAAGGUACAAAGGUAUUGUUUCCAGUCAUGAACAAAUGCCAGAAGGACUGCAAAAACUACCUCAUCGUCACACUAAGAGAAGUAAAGCUAAGUAUUUUAGGUAUGACAAAGGCAUGUGUAAUAUUCCUAAAGUAUGCUUCUUAUUAAUGUACUACACAUACAGACUACAUAUUCUUCAUUUUAAUGACUUCAGAUGAUCCAUAAGUAAGGUUUUCCCUUCUUUUUAAAGAUAGGUAAGUCAGUUUCCCUCUUGAUUUUUCCUUUUAUUGAGUACUAAAUUGGCAUGUAUCCUUCCACAGUUAGAAACUGUCAAAUAUAUGAAUCUUUGUAAAUCUACCAAAAGGACAGCUUCUUGUGGAGAAUAUUUUUGUUGAUUCAAACAAAUCUCUUGACAGUAAAAUUCAGAAAUCUUCUUCUAAAAACAAGCAAGGUCCAGAAAUCAACAUGUCCCAAGAAGUGUUUCAGAAUGAGGAUGGAAAAGCUGACAAGAGAAGGAGGAGCAAAAAAGUCAGAGAUAAAAUGAGUAAGAUAGCUGUCUGAUAAGUAUCAGAAAUCACUUUUUCAUUUGAACUACUGUACUGAACCAAAUGUAAUUCAGAGUCAUGCCGGUAUAUUGUGACAUGAAUUCCUUUUAGAAAGAUGG